RNAcentral lists this ribosomal RNA (497 nucleotides) under uncultured bacterium. RNAcentral's name for it is "partial 16S ribosomal RNA". It matches the Rfam family "Bacterial small subunit ribosomal RNA", at positions 28 to 507 of the family's 1533-position model. The record is from RNAcentral.
GAUGAACGCUGGCGGCGUGCCUAAUACAUGCCAGUCGAGCGAACAGACGAGGAGCUUGCUCCUCUGACGUUAGCGGCGGACGGGUGAGUAACACGUGGAUAACCUACCUAUAAGACUGGGAUAACUUCGGGAAACCGGAGCUAAUACCGGAUAAUAUAUUGAACCGCAUGGUUCAAUAGUGAAAGACGGUUUUGCUGUCACUUAUAGAUGGAUCCGCGCCGCAUUAGCUAGUUGGUAAGGUAACGGCUUACCAAGGCAACGAUGCGUAGCCAACCUGAGAGGGUGAUCGGCCACACUGGAACUGAGACACGGUCCAGACUCCUACGGGAGGCAGCAGUAGGGAAUCUUCCGCAAUGGGCGAAAGCUUGACGGAGCAACGCCGCGUGAGUGAUGAAGGUCUUCGGAUCGUAAAACUCUGUUAUUAGGGAAGAACAAAUGUGUAAGUAACUAUGCACGUCUUGACGGUACCUAAUCAGAAAGCCACGGCUAACUACGUG